AGGGGGCGAGCGUUGUCCGGAAUUAUUGGGCGUAAAGCGCGCGCAGGCGGUCUCUUAAGUCUGAUGUGAAAGCCCACGGCUCAACCGUGGAGGGUCAUUGGAAACUGGGGGACUUGAGGGCAGGAGAGGAGAGCGGAAUUCCACGUGUAGCGGUGAAAUGCGUAGAGAUGUGGAGGAACACCAGUGGCGAAGGCGGCUCUCUGGCCUGUACCUGACGCUGAGGCGCGAAAGCGUGGGGAGCAAACAGGAUUAGAUACCCUGGUAGUCCACGCCGUAAACGAUGAGUGCUAAGUGUUAGAGGGGUCACACCCUUUAGUGCUGCAGCUAACGCGAUAAGCACUCCGCCUGGGGAGUACGGCCGCAAGGCUGAAACUCAAAGGAAUUGACGGGGGCCCGCACAAGCGGUGGAGCAUGUGG
This 417-nucleotide ribosomal RNA is filed under the name Geobacillus stearothermophilus. Its description in RNAcentral is "bacterial SSU rRNA". It matches the Rfam family "Bacterial small subunit ribosomal RNA", at positions 529 to 944 of the family's 1533-position model. Lineage: Bacteria; Bacillati; Bacillota; Bacilli; Caryophanales; Anoxybacillaceae. The record is from RNAcentral.